Molecule: ribosomal RNA, 510 nt
Filed under: Triticum aestivum (bread wheat)
Lineage: Eukaryota; Viridiplantae; Streptophyta; Magnoliopsida; Poales; Poaceae
Description: partial small subunit ribosomal RNA
Source: RNAcentral
AUGGAAGAAAGCGAUGAAGUAGACUUAAUCGGAAGGUAUAAUGUUGGGUUUGGACAACACGUUCGUUGGAAGACAAUACCUCUUGUCUCCGACUUCCAUUGGGAAGCAUAUAAGGAGAGUGUCUUGGCCUCACAAGAUAAAGCAUUCGAGUUAUUUGCCACAAAGAAGGUUGGUGCUCAGUUGCACAUUGAUUUGAAUCGGUGUGCAUCUUCAUGUGAUGUUAGAAGCUCGGUUCGAGAUCCACCAUAUGUCAAUCCAGAUGUGUAUGACACAACAAUGAGCCAACCUCCAUUGACCCAACCUUUGUGCCCCGUCCGGAAUGACCAACAUGAUAAUCAAGGCUUGCAUAUGGAGGGUGAUGGGUUUGAAGGUGAAAGCACAUUUGCUCCUUUGGUGAUUUUAGUAAUUCAUGUCAACAUACAUGUUGUUGGACUAAUAUUUUCCUCAAGUACAUUUCAGGCUCUAAGGAACAAUGGUGGCAAAGCUUCAAGACUCUACAUUUAUUGUUAA